RNAcentral lists this ribosomal RNA (469 nucleotides) under uncultured bacterium. Its description in RNAcentral is "bacterial SSU rRNA". It matches the Rfam family "Bacterial small subunit ribosomal RNA", at positions 335 to 800 of the family's 1533-position model. The record is from RNAcentral.
ACUCCUACGGGAGGCAGCAGUGAGGAAUCUUGCGCAAUGGAGGAAACUCUGACGCAGCCACGCCGCGUGCUGGAAGACGGCCCUAUGGGUUGUAAACAGCUUUUGAUAGGGAAGAACCUGGACCUUUCGAGGACCACUGACGGUACCUAUCGAAUAAGCACCGGCUAACUCCGUGCCAGCAGCCGCGGUAAUACGGAGGGUGCAAGCGUUGUCCGGAAUCAUUGGGUGUAAAGGGUGCGUAGGCGGAAGCCUAAGUCGGAGGUGAAAUCUUGCCGCUCAACGGUAAAAUGGCCUUCGAUACUGGGUUUCUUGAGUCCAGAAGAGGUUGGUGGAAUUCGUGGUGUAGCGGUGAAAUGCAUAGAUAUCACGAAGAACACCGGUGGCGAAGGCGGCCAACUGGUCUGGUACUGACGCUGAGGCACGAGAGCGUGGGGAGCGAACAGGAUUAGAUACCCUGGUAGGAUAGCGU